RNAcentral lists this ribosomal RNA (502 nucleotides) under uncultured bacterium. RNAcentral describes it as "partial 16S ribosomal RNA". It matches the Rfam family "Bacterial small subunit ribosomal RNA", at positions 30 to 523 of the family's 1533-position model. The record is from RNAcentral.
AUUGAACGCUGGCGGCAUGCCUUACACAUGCAAGUCGAACGGCAGCACGGGUGCUUGCACCUGGUGGCGAGUGGCGAACGGGUGAGUAAUACAUCGGAACGUACCUUAUCGUGGGGGAUGACGCAGCGAAAGCUGUGCUAAUACCGCAUACGAUCUAAGGAUGAAAGCGGGGGAUCGCAAGACUCCGCGCGAUUGGAGCGGCCGAUAUCAGAUUAGGUAGUUGGUGAGGUAAAGGCUCACCAAGCCAACGAUCUGUAGCUGGUCUGAGAGGACGACCAGCCACACUGGGACUGAGACACGGCCCAGACUCCUACGGGAGGCAGCAGUGGGGAAUUUUGGACAAUGGACGCAAGUCUGAUCCAGCCAUUCCGCGUGCAGGACGAAGGCCUUCGGGUUGUAAACUGCUUUUGUACAGAACGAAAAAGUCUUUAUUAAUACUGGGGGCUCAUGACGGUACUGUAAGAAUAAGCACCGGCUAACUACGUGCCAGCAGCCGCGGUAA